Molecule: transfer RNA, 85 nt
Filed under: Felis catus (domestic cat)
Lineage: Eukaryota; Metazoa; Chordata; Mammalia; Carnivora; Felidae
Also listed under: 1 other name
Rfam family: tRNA
About the family: Transfer RNA (tRNA) molecules are approximately 80 nucleotides in length. Their secondary structure includes four short double-helical elements and three loops (D, anti-codon, and T loops).
Source: Rfam by way of RNAcentral
GCCUGGGUGGCUCAGUCGGUUGAGUGUCUGACUUCAGCUCAGGCCAUGAUCUCAUGGCCUGUGGGUUCAAGCCCUAUAUCGGGCU